UACGUAGGGGGCAAGCGUUAUCCGGAAUUACUGGGUGUAAAGGGAGCGUAGACGGUAAUGUAAGUCUGGAGUGAAAGGCGGGGGCCCAACCCCCGGACUGCUCUGGAAACUAUGUUACUAGAGUGCAGGAGAGGUAAGCGGAAUUCCUAGUGUAGCGGUGAAAUGCGUAGAUAUUAGGGGGAACACCAGUGGCGAAGGCGGCUUACUGGACUGUAACUGACGUUGAGGCUCGAAAGCGUGGGGAGCAAACAGG
Molecule: ribosomal RNA, 253 nt
Filed under: uncultured bacterium
Lineage: Bacteria
Description: partial 16S ribosomal RNA
Rfam family: Bacterial small subunit ribosomal RNA
Source: RNAcentral